Molecule: ribosomal RNA, 483 nt
Filed under: uncultured Ochrobactrum sp.
Lineage: Bacteria; Pseudomonadati; Pseudomonadota; Alphaproteobacteria; Hyphomicrobiales; Brucellaceae
Description: bacterial SSU rRNA
Rfam family: Bacterial small subunit ribosomal RNA
Source: RNAcentral
CUUAAAGGAAUUGACGGGGGCCCGCACAAGCGUGGAGUAUGUGGUUUAAUUCGAUGCAACGCGAAGAACCUUACCAGCCCUUGACAUACCGGUCGCGGACACAGAGAUGUGUCUUUCAGUUCGGCUGGACCCGGAUACAGGUGCUGCAUGGCUGUCGUCAGCUCGUGUCGUGAGAUGCUGGGUUAAGUCCCGCAACGAGCGCAACCCUCGCCCUUAGUUGCCAGCAUUUAGUUGGGCACUCUAAGGGGACUGCCGGUGAUAAGCCGAGAGGAAGGUGGGGAUGACGUCAAGUCCUCAUGGCCCUUACGGGCUGGGCUACACACGUGCUACAAUGGUGGUGACAGUGGGCAGCGAGCACGCGAGUGUGAGCUAAUCUCCAAAAGCCAUCUCAGUUCGGAUUGCACUCUGCAACUCGAGUGCAUGAAGUUGGAAUCGCUAGUAAUCGCGGAUCAGCAUGCCGCGGUGAAUACGUUCCCGGGCCUU